This 715-nucleotide ribosomal RNA is filed under the name Streptomyces sp. 524(2010). RNAcentral describes it as "bacterial SSU rRNA". It matches the Rfam family "Bacterial small subunit ribosomal RNA", at positions 118 to 845 of the family's 1533-position model. The record is from RNAcentral. Lineage: Bacteria; Bacillati; Actinomycetota; Actinomycetes; Kitasatosporales; Streptomycetaceae.
UGGGCAAUCUGCCCUGCACUCUGGGACAAGCCCUGGAAACGGGGUCUAAUACCGGAUGAUACUUUUUCCUGCAUGGGGAAGGGUUGAAAGCUCCGGCGGUGCAGGAUGAGCCCGCGGCCUAUCAGCUUGUUGGUGGGGUGAUGGCCUACCAAGGCGACGACGGGUAGCCGGCCUGAGAGGGCGACCGGCCACACUGGGACUGAGACACGGCCCAGACUCCUACGGGAGGCAGCAGUGGGGAAUAUUGCACAAUGGGCGAAAGCCUGAUGCAGCGACGCCGCGUGAGGGAUGACGGCCUUCGGGUUGUAAACCUCUUUCAGCAGGGAAGAAGCGAAAGUGACGGUACCUGCAGAAGAAGCGCCGGCUAACUACGUGCCAGCAGCCGCGGUAAUACGUAGGGCGCAAGCGUUGUCCGGAAUUAUUGGGCGUAAAGAGCUCGUAGGCGGUUUGUCACGUCGGUUGUGAAAGCCCGGGGCUUAACUCCGGGUCUGCAGUCGAUACGGGCAGACUAGAGUGUGGUAGGGGAGAUCGGAAUUCCUGGUGUAGCGGUGAAAUGCGCAGAUAUCAGGAGGAACACCGGUGGCGAAGGCGGAUCUCUGGGCCAUUACUGACGCUGAGGAGCGAAAGCGUGGGGAGCGAACAGGAUUAGAUACCCUGGUAGUCCACGCCGUAAACGCUUGGGAACUAGGUGUUGGCGACAUUCACGUCGUCGGUG